Molecule: long non-coding RNA, 390 nt
Organism: Oncorhynchus keta (chum salmon)
Lineage: Eukaryota; Metazoa; Chordata; Actinopteri; Salmoniformes; Salmonidae
Exons: 3
Source: RefSeq, a predicted model, not a curated record
UUAACCCCCAGUCCGGAGGCCCGCUGCUGACACACGGCCGCCCUCUGUCCCUGGAGCCACAUGUGGUGGUUGUGGUCAAUCGGCCGGCCACUCAACCUCCCCUCCCCAUCCCGGCUUUCGCUGUUCCCCUGAACCCUAACCCCAUAGUCCCAGCCCCUGUCGUCCCAGUCGUCCCCAGGACAGCAGAGGAGAGGGCAGGUCCCUCAGACCAACAGGAAGUCCAGGGACCAGAGACACCUCAGCUCCAGCCCCACGUCAGAGCACUGGUCAGAGGAGUGGUGGAUCUGUUUCCUGAUGUCCAGGAGAACUAUGUAGCAGAACUGAUCCAGACCAAUGACCUGAAAGACCUCAAUGUUAUCUGUAACAUGUUGUUGGAGAACCCAGCCUUCC